AGAUUCCCAAAGUUGUCUGUUGUCUUUUGCCUGUAAGGUGUGGCAAGCUAACACAAUCCUGGGAGCUGAACUAAAUCUCUUAAUUCCUUCUGGAGAGUGAUUCUUUUGGUUUGAGAGAGAACCUAGGACUCUACCUUAUUUGUUUACUUACCUGUUUUGUUUUUGAGACAGUGUUUCUCUGUGUAACCUUGACUGUUUUGGAACUCACUCUGUAGACCAGGCUGGCCUUGAAUUCACAGAGAUCGCUUGCCUCUGCCUCCUGAGUACUGGGAUCAAAGGUGUGAGUCACCACUCCCACCCCCACCCAGACUGGGAUCUACCUUUUUAAAUAAGCAAGAUAAAUUUUCAAAUGGAUGAAAUGUGGAAACUGGCUCUUCCCAUGAAUCCUACCCCAGCUGUACUAAAGGCAUUGCUAGAGACUCAGUUCUAUUACAUUGUUGGCACUGUACCUUCUGAGCAGAGCCGGAGGUAUAAAAUUAGCUUAAGUCUUCCUGGGAAUUCUGUCCUCUUAUUUGCUCUGCUGACCCCCAGUGGCCAUCAGAGAAAGAAAAACUUGGAUAUUUCACAAAACUAAUAGCUGUGUCCACUGACAAAGUCAAGACUAUUUCCAUGGUUAUCAAGUUUUUAUUAACUUUUUUUCCUGAGGUAGGUUCUUGGUACAUAAUUCAAGCAGGUCUUGGACUUGUGAUCUUCCUGCUUCAGAUUCUGAAGUUCAGAGGAUACAGGUAUCUAUCACUCGCUGCACCCAGCACGGGUAGCAGGAUUUACUUUAUGAAGGUCCAAAGUUGACAUUGGCUACCUUUCUUCAGUCACUUUUUCUCUUAUUUUUGGAAAGUAUAUCAACUUACUGAACCUGAAUCUUUUAUUUGGCCAGACUGUCUGGCAAGGCCCAGAGUUCCUUCUUCUCUCUUCCUCCCCAGUGUGUGGACUACAGAAGAUGUGUGCUACUACAUCCAUAAUUCCUUUUUUAAAUUUUUUUUUGAAAUAGAAUAUUUUAUAGCUCUGGCUCUCCCUGGAACUUGCUGUGUAGACCAGGCUGGCCUUGAAGUUGGAGAGACCCACCUGCUGCUGCUGGGAUUAAAGUGUCUGAGACUGCUCCAGCACCGCAAUGACCAUGGAGUUACAUAGUUGCAAUCAAGACUUGAUAGCCCACAAAAUGGUGUAAUGUAGCUUAGGAUGGCCUUAAAUUCCUGAGUAGAAGCCACCACGUCUGACUUAUGCAGUGAUGAAGAGUAAACCCAAGACUUUAUGCAUGCCACGCACAAACAUUCUGUCAACUAAGCUACAUUCCCAGCCAGGUGCAGGAUUUCACCUCAGGGAGGUCCACACUCCAAAGCCUACUCUCAACUGGAGAGGAGUAUGAUCACAACACAUACCAUACAUAUGCAUGUAUGGAUACAUGUAUACACACAUACAUAUAUAUGAACUUGUCAUUAAAUAAAGUAAAAAAAAUUUU
Molecule: long non-coding RNA, 1456 nt
Filed under: Rattus norvegicus (Norway rat)
Lineage: Eukaryota; Metazoa; Chordata; Mammalia; Rodentia; Muridae
Description: long non-coding RNA NONRATT031047
Source: RNAcentral